GGAGAGAUGGCCGAGCGGCUGAAGGUACUUGCUUGGAAAGCAAGCGUACGAGAAAUCGUACCGAGGGUUCGAAUCCCUCUCUCUCCG
RNAcentral lists this transfer RNA (87 nucleotides) under Candidatus Moraniibacteriota bacterium. Its description in RNAcentral is "tRNA-Ser". It matches the Rfam family "tRNA". Rfam says of the family: Transfer RNA (tRNA) molecules are approximately 80 nucleotides in length. Their secondary structure includes four short double-helical elements and three loops (D, anti-codon, and T loops). Lineage: Bacteria; Candidatus Moraniibacteriota. The record is from RNAcentral.